CGGCCGCGGUAUCCUGACCGUGCAAAGGUAGCAUAAUCAUUUGCCUUUUAAUUGGAGGCUAGUAUGAAUGGGUAGACGUAGAUUUAGCUGUUUCUUUACUAUAAAUAAAACUUAAACUUUAGGUGAAGAUGCCUAAUUUUUAUAGAAAGACAAGAAGACCCUAUAGAGUUUUAGUUAAAUAUAUCCCUCUAUAAUAUUAUAACUUUGGUUGGGGCGACCUAGGAUUUUAUUAAACAUCCUAUUUAUUAUAAGAUAAAUUUAAUCUCAUUUAUAGACCCUAAAACGGAUUAUCAAAAUUAACUACCUUAGGGAUAACAGGCUUAUCUUCCUAGAGAGCUCUUAUUGAUAGGAUGGUUUGGCACCUCGAUGUUGGCUUAGA
RNAcentral lists this ribosomal RNA (379 nucleotides) under Neopolynoe chondrocladiae. RNAcentral describes it as "partial large subunit ribosomal RNA". It matches the Rfam family "Bacterial large subunit ribosomal RNA", at positions 1928 to 2541 of the family's 2925-position model. The record is from RNAcentral. Lineage: Eukaryota; Metazoa; Annelida; Polychaeta; Phyllodocida; Polynoidae.